AAGCCAGACUCCUACGGGAGGCAGCAGUGGGGGAUAUUGCACAAUGGGGGGAACCCUGAUGCAGCGACGCCGCGUGGGUGAAGGAGCGUUUCGGCGCGUAAAGCCCUAUCGGCAGGGAAGAAGGAGGACGGUACCUGACUAAGAAGCCCCGGCUAACUACGUGCCAGCAGCCGCGGUAAUACGUAGGGAGCAAGCGUUAUCCGGAUUUACUGGGUGUAAAGGGGGCGUAGACGGCAGCGCAAGCCAGGAGUGAAAGCCCGGGGCCCAACCCCGGGACUGCUCUUGGAACUGCGCGGCUGGAGUGCAGGAGGGGCAGGCGGAAUUCCUGGUGUAGCGGUGAGAUGCGUAGAUAUCAGGAGGAACACCGGUGGCGAAGGCGGCCUGCUGGACUGCGACUGACGUUGAGGCCCGAAAGCGUGGGGAGCAAACAGGAUUAGAUACCCCUGUAA
Molecule: ribosomal RNA, 449 nt
Filed under: uncultured bacterium
Lineage: Bacteria
Description: bacterial SSU rRNA
Rfam family: Bacterial small subunit ribosomal RNA
Source: RNAcentral